UCUCCUAAGCACACCUUGCUUUGCACAACUUCUUGAGUUAUGUCCCAUCAAUUCACAUCUUCCACAUUGAGUGUCAUUAUAGGUUUUCUUCAUGCCACUCCCACCAAUAGGUUCUUCAUUGCCAUCCUUUCUCCUAUUCUUCUUAGGUCUUCCUGCUGACCUUUUCACCUUUGGUGGCACAGGUUUUUCAUAAGGUGUUGGUUCCCAGUAAAUUUGAGAAUUCACAGGUUGAAUAAAGUAGCUAUAAGUUGCCCUAUAUGAACCAAGGGUCAACCAAUCAUGACAAUGAUCUUCUGACUUGAAU
This 304-nucleotide long non-coding RNA is filed under the name Medicago truncatula (barrel medic). Its description in RNAcentral is "long non-coding RNA (MTRU_LNC008088)". The record is from RNAcentral. Lineage: Eukaryota; Viridiplantae; Streptophyta; Magnoliopsida; Fabales; Fabaceae.